UGUGGCAUGGCGGUCGUUGACACGAUUUA
Molecule: small RNA, 29 nt
Filed under: Bombyx mori (domestic silkworm)
Lineage: Eukaryota; Metazoa; Arthropoda; Insecta; Lepidoptera; Bombycidae
Description: ovarian small RNA-35921
Source: RNAcentral